AAACCAAAGCAAAAUUUUAAAAGACUCUGGAUACAGUUUAGUGUGAAAGCCCUGGGUUCAGUCCCAAAUACCAGAAAAUAAUUACUCAACUCCACCUUUGCCCACAGUAGCUUCUUAUGCCAUUUUUAUGUCCUGAUUUCUAGAUUGUUAAUCAGCCAUUAUUACAAAAUUUAGUUUUCUUCUUUAGAAAUGUGUAACGUUGGACCCACUUGUGUUUGCUUGACCCAUGUAAAUCAACUCUGGAGGUCAGUCCACACUGAACAUGACGCAGAGAAGACACCUGUUCAUCACCCCUUCGGGCGCCCAGGUGCCCCUCGGAGAAUUCAGACCAAAUGGAUCUCCUCCUUCCCCACCCCAGCGCCUCCCCCGCGCUGAUGCAGAAAUGUGUGAAGACCGAGAGGCUGGAGCUGACGUCAGCACAUGGCAGCAAGGGCAAAGAGCAGCAGAGCGCUCAGGGUGCUCACAAUGGUCUGGCCCUCCAGGUAACGUGUCCCGGGGUCCAUACGAGUCCUUGCAGCACUGAGCUGGCACAUCCCGUCCUGACCAUU
This 548-nucleotide long non-coding RNA is filed under the name Chinchilla lanigera (long-tailed chinchilla). RNAcentral describes it as "lncRNA (ENSCLAG00000023731.1)". The record is from RNAcentral. Lineage: Eukaryota; Metazoa; Chordata; Mammalia; Rodentia; Chinchillidae.